ACUCGAAGAGCUUGUGGCCACAUUUCCUGAUCGGGGAAAAAAAAUCGUUACUCGUCGGUUAAAUUAGCUCAAAUCAACAAAAAGCAUGUUUUUAUUACUUAUUUUUUUCAGAGAUUGUCAUGAUCUUUCAAUAGAUUUUAUUGCAAGUACGUACGAAAAGUACAAGUUUGAGCUUCGAACGUUGUUUGAUAAAUAUAUCAAGUAUGGGCGACAUUUAUCAAAAAUUGAAAAUAUAUUGAAAUGGUACCAAAUAUCGAACAUAUUCACUGAUGAGCAGCAAUAUCGCAUGAGUCUUUAUUUAGAAAAUGAAUUACUAACGGAACAAGAAAAAGGAAUGCAUACAGAAUUUUUGGACUCUGUGCUAAUACAUGAAUGGGGCUUAAAGAUUUUCAUUAGCGUAUAAAAAUUCGAUAGCCGCGAAGAGGCUCUCGAGCAUGUGAAGCUUCAGGAAGAAAUGAUAAUAUAUAAAAAUGAUUGAUCCACGAACUCGAACGAUCCACGAAGUUCAUCGUAUUCUCAACAGAAAAACGCACAUCCGAAUUCUGCAGGAUUUUCAACACUAUCGACAACUCAGAUGGGAAGACGAUUUGGCAAUGGCAGUUAACGAUGAGUAAUUUCAAAUGCAUUCAGAUUGUUAUACCCACCAUGAUCUUGCAGGGAGAGUGAUUACGUGUGCCAAUCAGCUGGUUCUCUGAUGGCUGUUGCA
Molecule: long non-coding RNA, 706 nt
Organism: Wyeomyia smithii (pitcher-plant mosquito)
Lineage: Eukaryota; Metazoa; Arthropoda; Insecta; Diptera; Culicidae
Exons: 3
Source: RefSeq, a predicted model, not a curated record